Non-coding RNA from Mus musculus (house mouse), 299 nucleotides. NCBI's taxonomy places the organism in Eukaryota, Metazoa, Chordata, Mammalia, Rodentia, Muridae. The record is from the annotation of a RefSeq genome assembly.
GAGGUGCAGCUGGUGGAAUCUGGAGGCAGCUUGGGACAGCCUGGAGGGUCCACUAAACUCUCUUGUGAAGAAGCAUCUGGAUUCACUUUCAGUGAUCAUUGGAUGGACUGGUUUCGCCAAGCCCCAGGCAUGAGGCUAGAAUGGUUAGCAAAUACAAACCAUGAUGAGAGUGGAAAAGGCUAUGCAGAGUCUGUGAAAGACAGAUUCUCCAUCUCCAGAGACAAUUCUGAGAACUUAUUGUAUCUACAAAUGAACAGUCUGAGAAACGAAGACACGGCUCUGUAUUAUUGUGCCAGAGA